Molecule: long non-coding RNA, 604 nt
Filed under: Trifolium pratense (red clover)
Lineage: Eukaryota; Viridiplantae; Streptophyta; Magnoliopsida; Fabales; Fabaceae
Description: long non-coding RNA (TPRA_LNC006391)
Source: RNAcentral
CCUGCAUCUCUCUAUUGCUCGACCUCUAAGCCUUCAUCUCUCGUCUCUCUAUCUCUCACUUUCAUCAUCUCAUCGCAUCCCCUUGUGAGUAACUUCCUUUUUCUUUUUUCUCUUUUUUGUUUAUGUUUUCAUUUUUCGAUUUUCUACUAUUUUUUGUUGUUGGUUUUUGUUUGAAGCUUUGAACCUCGCUAUUUUUAUUGAUUUUUCCACCAUUUUUAGUGUUAAUAGUGUUGAUUUUACCCUGUUCAUGUUCUUAAGUAGUGAACUAUUUAUGUUCUUUAAUUUCUGUUUUUGUUUUGGAAGAAUAGUGUUACUGUUUAUGUUAUUUUGAUUUAGUCUAUGUUAUUCUUUUUAUUUUGUUUAUGUUUAAGCACUUUUUAUUUUGUUAAUUAAUGAGUAUGGUUUCUCUAUUUUUUCAGGUACUCAAGUGGGUCAUUCUCUUGAUGCAACAACUUAAGGAAUACAAACAUUCAGNNNNNNNNUUCCUAGUUGGGACUGCAAUUAACUAAUUUUAACUGUGAUCUGUGAAUGUAUCAAUAUUACUAAACUCUAAUGGUUGUGGUUGAUUAAGCAGUAACAAGACAAAAAAUAGUACUUAUACAAA